GAAUAUGAAGCGAUUUAUUGCAAUUAGUUUCGACCUAAUUUUAGGUAAUUACUACCCUUAUUCU
RNAcentral lists this transfer RNA (64 nucleotides) under Anastrepha ornata. RNAcentral describes it as "tRNA-Arg". Lineage: Eukaryota; Metazoa; Arthropoda; Insecta; Diptera; Tephritidae. The record is from RNAcentral.